CCUACGGGGGGCUGCAGUGAGGAAUAUUGGUCAAUGGGCGCAAGCCUGAACCAGCCAUCCCGCGUGAAGGAAGAAUGCCCUAUGGGUUGUAAACUUCUUUUCCGGAGGAAUAAAAUCCCGAACGAGUUUGGGACUGAAGGUACUCCGGGAAUAAGCAUCGGCUAACUCCGUGCCAGCAGCCGCGGUAAUACGGAGGAUGCGGGCGUUAUCCGGAUUUAUUGGGGUUAAAGGGUGCGUAGGCGGAUUAAUAGAAAACCUGCAGCUUAACUGUAGGCUUGCCAUUGAUACUGUUAGUCUUGAGUACGGUCAAGGUAGGCGGAAUGUGUAAUGUAGCGGUGAAAUGCUUAGAUAUUACACAGAACACCGAUUGCGAAGGCAGCUUACUGGGCCGUAACUGACGCUGAUGCACGAAAGCGUGGGGAGCGAACAGGAUUAGAUACCCUAGUAGUC
Molecule: ribosomal RNA, 450 nt
Filed under: uncultured bacterium
Lineage: Bacteria
Description: partial 16S ribosomal RNA
Rfam family: Bacterial small subunit ribosomal RNA
Source: RNAcentral